CCUACGGGAGGCUGCAGUGAGGAAUAUUGGUCAAUGGGCGAGAGCCUGAACCAGCCAAGUCGCGUGAAGGAUGACGGCCCUACGGGUUGUAAACUUCUUUUGUCAGGGAGCAAUUGGGUCCACGCGUGGGCUUAGCGAGAGUACCUGAAGAAAAAGCAUCGGCUAACUCCGUGCCAGCAGCCGCGGUAAUACGGGGGAUGCGAACGUUAUCCGGAUUUAUUGGGUUUAAGGGGUGCGUAGGCGGAAUAUCAAGUCAGCGGGAAAAAUUCGGGGCUCAACCCCGUAGUGCCGUUGAAACUGAUGUUCUUGAGUGGGCGAGAGGUAUGCGGAAUGCGUGGUGUAGCGGUGAAAUGCAUAGAUAUCACGCAGAACUCCGAUUGCGAAGGCAGCAUACCGGCGCCCAACUGACGCUGAAGCACGAAAGCGUGGGUAUCGAACAGGAUUAGAUACCCUAGUAGUC
This 460-nucleotide ribosomal RNA is filed under the name uncultured bacterium. RNAcentral describes it as "partial 16S ribosomal RNA". It matches the Rfam family "Bacterial small subunit ribosomal RNA", at positions 338 to 795 of the family's 1533-position model. The record is from RNAcentral.